GUUCUCACUUUAGCAGCCCAUCUACAAAAAUUGGAAGAUUACAGAGAAGAUUAGCAUGGCCCCUGUGUCGGAAUAACAUGAAAAUUCGUAAAGUAUUUUAAAAGGAU
This is a small nuclear RNA of Ochotona princeps (American pika), 107 nucleotides long. The record is from Ensembl. NCBI's taxonomy places the organism in Eukaryota, Metazoa, Chordata, Mammalia, Lagomorpha, Ochotonidae.